GGGGAAACGCAGUAGGAGGAGUGACGGGAACCGGGAGCCGGCUCCAUGCGCCUGGAGCGCGCGGGUCCCAGCGCCCAUCGGCCCGGGGUCCGAGGGGCCCGCUGCCCGGGCUCGCUGCGUGGUGCUACCGCCCCCGGGCCCGCUGCGCCGCGUCGGAGCCCCAGCAGACUUUGAGAGGCGUGUGCGACAGUGCGCGUCCUCUCCUGCCUCUGGAUGUUUCCUUGGAGCCUCUGGCCUUCGGGAAGACCGCCUGAUGGCCUGGUGUUGGGCCUGAUCACCCCAAAAUUUCAGGCACCCAACGUGGGGCUAUGAAGACCAUGGUAAAGAAAUGCUAGAGUAUAUGGAAAUGAAGGACAUAUCAUCAAAGGACACCCGAGGAUGGCUGAAAGAAGCUUGGUGGGUAAGCUGGGCACUCUGAAGAACCAAGUGCCACUGGGUUAGAGUCUCCCCGACCAAGCUGGUCUCAGCAAGUGGUCUCCAUCAUGGGGGCUCGAAUCCAGGUUGAAGGGUCACCAGAGUGAUGGUUGGAGAACAUGGAACUAGCUGGAGGACACCUGAGUACUCUUAAAGCAAACCCCGUGUUAAUUGAAAAUGCUCAGUUACGAUUUCAUACAGAUGAACAACUGAAGACAAAAACAACAAAGGGGGAGAAAGAGGGAUUAUGGGACAGCCCAUAUACAAUUGAAUCUAGCAUUAUUAACUUUAAAUUUUUUGAGUCUGCCUAAAGGCCAGAUGUUAUCAGCAGCUGAACAGCAUUUACAGAAACCGGCUGCAAAGACAGAAGCAGAACAACUGGUUUGGUGGAGAGAUCCGAUAACAAAAAGUUGGGAAAUAGGUAAAAUAAUAACUUGGGGUAGAGGUUAUGUUUGUGUUUCUCCAGGCCAAAAUCAAUAACCAAUUUGGAUACCAUCAAGACACCUGAAACCUUAUCAUGAGCCAGAUGCUGAGGAAGAGAUUCCAGGAGGAUCCUGAGGACCCCCUGGUUGCAGCCACGUCGAGGCUGACACUGAGGAGGACCCCAACUGUCAUGAGCAACACCCGUCGAACACAGCCAUCCACCUGGGGACAAAUCAAGAAGCUGUCACAGAUGAUGGAAGAAAACCUGAGGAAAGCGGGACAACCAAUCACAAUGAGUAAUUUGGUGAUCUAUCACAGUGAUGAUCACCAUUGCCAUGAGUAUUCCUUCAACAAGGGCUGACACAGAGAACAAUUAUACUUAUUGGGCAUAUUUAUCAAUCUUGUCUGGCAAUAAUGCCUAGAUGAUUUCACUCUAUGGCACAGUUACACAUGCUUUCUGAUCUCAGUAUUUACCAUAAUAAAUCUGCUCCUAUAAUUGAGGCAUACCACCCUCAAAAACCUAUUUGUAAACAAAAUAGAACCUGGCCAGAAAUAAUGAACAACUUGUUUAGUAAGAUUGCAUUGCAGAACAGGCAGAGAUGCUACGCAAUGAUUCCUAUGGGAUCAUUGAUUGGUCCCCUAAGGGGAUGUUUAGCUUAAAUUGCACCUCUCAGUCUGCAUGCCAUGGCCACACUAGUUCAGAUGGUCUGAACAAAGUGGUCAGAUGGCAGAAAUGAUAAGAAGUAUGGCAAAAGUUCCUAUUGUCUGGAACCAUGGCAGUAUAGUGUCACCUCAACCUCAAAUGAUAUGGCUCAUUGUAGGAGCUAAACAUAAGGAUUUGUGGAAACUAUUAAUAGCUCUUAAUAAGAUCAAAAUUUGGGAAAGAAUAAAAAAAGCAUCUAGAAAGACACUCUACAAACUUGUCUUUGGAUAUUACAAAAUUAAAAGAACAAAUAUUUAAAGCAUCCCAGGUACACCUGACCUUAAUGACAGAAACUGGAGUGCUUGAAGGAGCUGCAGACAGAUUAGCAGCUAGUAACCCAUUAAAAUGGAUAAAAACACUUGGAAGCUCUGUGAUUUCAAUGAUGAUUGUGCUUUUAAUCGGUAUUGUUUGUCUUUGUAUAGUGUGCAGAUGUGGAUCCUGACUCCUGUGAGAAGUAGCUCACAGUGUCAAAGCUGCCUUUGCUUUUAUCGAUUUGCAAAUCAAAUAAGGGGGACAUAUUGGGAACAGCACCCCCCCCCCCAAAAUCUGGCCAUAAACUGGUCCCAAAACUGGCCAUAAACAAAAUCUCUGCAGCACUGACAUGUUCAUGAUGGUCUUAAUGCCCACGCUGGAAGGUUGUGGGUUUACCAGAAUGAGAGCAAGGAACACCUGGCCCACCCAGGGUGGAAAACCACUUAAAGGCAUUCUUAAACCACAAACAAUAGCAUGAGUGAUCUGUGCCUUAAGGCUGUGCUACUGCUGCAGAUAACUAGCCCAACCCAUCCCUUUAUUUCAGCCCAUCCCUUCGUUUCCCAUAAGGGAUACUUUUAAUUAAUCUAAUAUGUAUAGAAAGAAUGCUAAUGACUGGCUUGCUGUUAAUAAAUAACGUGGGUAAAUCUCUGUUGGAGGCUCUCAGCUCUGAAGGCUGUGAGACCCCGGAUUUCCCACUUCAC
This 2493-nucleotide long non-coding RNA is filed under the name Homo sapiens (human). RNAcentral describes it as "PM20D1 antisense RNA 1". Lineage: Eukaryota; Metazoa; Chordata; Mammalia; Primates; Hominidae. The record is from RNAcentral.